Dactylonectria macrodidyma is the source of this 95-nucleotide non-coding RNA. NCBI's taxonomy places the organism in Eukaryota, Fungi, Ascomycota, Sordariomycetes, Hypocreales, Nectriaceae. The record is from the annotation of a GenBank genome assembly.
GUCCCCGUGGCCUAAUGGCUAAGGCGCAAGACUUCUAUCUGGUUAACACCUAAUAUGAUAUCUUGAGAUUGCGAGUUCGAUCCUCGCCGGGGAUU